GUGGGGAAUAUUGGACAAUGGGCGAAAGCCUGAUCCAGCCAUGCCGCGUGUGUGAAGAAGGUCUUCGGAUUGUAAAGCACUUUAAGUUGGGAGGAAGGGCAGUAAGUUAAUACCUUGCUGUUUUGACGUUACCAACAGAAUAAGCACCGGCUAACUUCGUGCCAGCAGCCGCGGUAAUACGAAGGGUGCAAGCGUUAAUCGGAAUUACUUGGCGUAAAGCGCGCGUAGGUGGUUUUGUAAGUUGGAGGUGAAAUCCCCGGGCUCAACCUGGGAACUGCCUCCAAAACUGCAUGACUAGAGUACGGUAGAGGGUAGUGGAAUUUCCUGUGUAGCGGUGAAAUGCGUAGAUAUAGGAAGGAACACCAGUGGCGAAGGCGACUACCUGGACUGAUACUGACACUGAGGUGCGAAAGCGUGGGUAGCGAACAGGAUUAGAAACCCUGGUAGUCC
Molecule: ribosomal RNA, 450 nt
Filed under: uncultured bacterium
Lineage: Bacteria
Description: partial 16S ribosomal RNA
Rfam family: Bacterial small subunit ribosomal RNA
Source: RNAcentral